AUUGAACGCUGGCGGCAUGCCUUACACAUGCAAGUCGAACGGCAGCACGGGAGCAAUCCUGGUGGCGAGUGGCGAACGGGUGAGUAAUAUAUCGGAACGUGCCCAGUCGUGGGGGAUAACGUAGCGAAAGCUACGCUAAUACCGCAUACGAUCUAUGGAUGAAAGCGGGGGAUCGCAAGACCUCGCGCGAUUGGAGCGGCCGAUAUCAGAUUAGGUAGUUGGUGGGGUAAAAGCCCACCAAGCCGACGAUCUGUAGCUGGUCUGAGAGGACGACCAGCCACACUGGGACUGAGACACGGCCCAGACUCCUACGGGAGGCAGCAGUGGGGAAGUUUGGACAAUGGGCGGAAGCCUGAUCCAGCCAUGCCGCGUGAGUGAAGAAGGCCUUCGGG
Molecule: ribosomal RNA, 392 nt
Filed under: uncultured bacterium
Lineage: Bacteria
Description: bacterial SSU rRNA
Rfam family: Bacterial small subunit ribosomal RNA
Source: RNAcentral